This 499-nucleotide ribosomal RNA is filed under the name uncultured bacterium. Its description in RNAcentral is "partial 16S ribosomal RNA". It matches the Rfam family "Bacterial small subunit ribosomal RNA", at positions 28 to 507 of the family's 1533-position model. The record is from RNAcentral.
GACGAACGCUGGCGGCGUGCUUAACACAUGCAAGUCGAACGGGCCCGCUCUCUUUUUUGGGGGUGGGUUGAGUGGCGAACGGGUGAGUAUCACGUGAGUAACCUGCCCCCUGCUCCUGGAUAACUGCUUGAAAGGGCGGCUAAUACGGGGUGUGCCGGCUGGUCCGCAUGGGCCUGGUCGGGAUAGUUUCAUCUUCGGGUGUUUCGGUGGGGGAUGGGCUCGCGGCCUAUCAGCUUGUUGGUGGGGUGAUGGCCUACCAAGGCGGUGACGGGUAGCCGGCCUGAGAGGGUGGGCGGCCACACUGGGACUGAGACACGGCCCAGACUCCUGCGGGAGGCAGCAGUGGGGGGUAUUGCACAAUGGGCGGAAGCCUGAUGCAGCGACGUCGCGUGAGGGAUGGAGGCCUUCGGGUUGUGAACCUCUUUCUCCGGUGGUGAAGGCCCUGUCCGUUGCGGCGGGGUUGACGGUAGCCGGGUAUGAAGCGCCGGCUAACUACGUG